AGGACGAACGCUGGCGGCGUGCUUAACACAUGCAAGUCGAACGAGGCCCAUUCAGUAGCAAUACUGAUGAAGGCCUAGUGGCGAACGGGUGAGUAACACGUGAGAAACCUAUCCUGGUCUCUGGGAUAACAGUCGGAAACAACUGCUAAUACCGGAUGCCGUCGGAGCGCUGCAUGGCGCACUGACGAAAGGGUUACUGGAUCAGGAGGGUCUCGCGGCCUAUCAGCUUGUUGGUGGGGUAAUGACCUACCAAGGCAUCGACGGGUAGCUGGUCUGAGAGGAUGAUCAGCCACACUGGGACUGAGACACGGCCCAGACUCUACGGGAGGCAGCAGUGGGGAAUCUUGCGCAAUGGGCGAAAGCCUGACGCAGCAACGCCGCGUGCGGGAAGAAGGCCUGGUGUAACGACGUUC
This 413-nucleotide ribosomal RNA is filed under the name uncultured soil bacterium. RNAcentral's name for it is "bacterial SSU rRNA". It matches the Rfam family "Bacterial small subunit ribosomal RNA", at positions 26 to 435 of the family's 1533-position model. The record is from RNAcentral.